CCUACGGGUGGCAGCAGUGAGGAAUAUUGGUCAAUGGGCGAGAGCCUGAACCAGCCAAGUCGCGUGAGGGAGUACUGCCCUAUGGGUUGUAAACCUCUUUUGUCGGGGAGCAAAAGCCGGACGUGUCCGGCUGUGAGAGUACCCGAAGAAAAAGAAGCGGCUAACUCCGUGCCAGCAGCCGCGGUAAUACGGAGGAUGCGAGCGUUAUCCGGAGUUAUUGGGUUUAAAGGGUGCGCAGGCGGAUUUUUAAGUCAGCGGGAAAAUCGUGGGGCUCAACCCCAUCCAGCCGUUGAAACUGGGGAUCUAGAGUGUGCGAGAGGUAUGCGGAAUGCGUGGUGUAGCGGUGAAAUGCAUAGAUAUCACGCAGAACCCCGAUUGCGAAGGCAGCAUACCGGUGCACAACUGACGCUCAGGCACGAAAGCGUGGGUAUCGAACAGGAUUAGAUACCCUAGUAGUC
This 458-nucleotide ribosomal RNA is filed under the name uncultured bacterium. Its description in RNAcentral is "partial 16S ribosomal RNA". It matches the Rfam family "Bacterial small subunit ribosomal RNA", at positions 338 to 795 of the family's 1533-position model. The record is from RNAcentral.